This 290-nucleotide signal recognition particle RNA is filed under the name Vombatus ursinus (common wombat). RNAcentral's name for it is "Metazoan signal recognition particle RNA (ENSVURG00010018610.1)". It matches the Rfam family "Metazoan signal recognition particle RNA". Rfam says of the family: The signal recognition particle (SRP) is a universally conserved ribonucleoprotein. It is involved in the co-translational targeting of proteins to membranes. The eukaryotic SRP consists of a 300-nucleotide 7S RNA and six proteins: SRPs 72, 68, 54, 19, 14, and 9. The record is from Rfam by way of RNAcentral. Lineage: Eukaryota; Metazoa; Chordata; Mammalia; Diprotodontia; Vombatidae.
CUCAGCUGGGCAUGGUAAUCCCUACUACUAGGGGGGGAAGGUCUCAGAUCUCCUGAACUCAGGAGUUCUUAGCUGCAAAGGGCUAAGGUGAUUGGGUGUCCACACAAAGUUUAGCAUUUAUAUUGUGAGCCCUUGGGAGUGGUAGGUUAUCAUAUUGCUUAAGGAGGGAUGUAACAGCCCAGGUCAGAAAUGGAUCAGGUCAAAACUCCCAUGCCAAUCGGAAUAGGAUUGAGCCCAUGCAAUAACCCUUGUUCUACCAGCCUGGGUGAAAUAGGGAAACCCAAUCUUUU